AGCAGCGCGGGGAGAGAUAAGUCCCAAGCGCCCCAUCUCCCCUCCUCUCGCUUUUCCAGUUUCCCGUCGCCUCCGCCAUCGCCUCCUCCCCUCUCCCCUCUCUCUCUCCCGUCUCCUCCCUCUCAACCCUAGUCGCCACCACCCACCCUCUACUGCUCCACCACACACCCACCUCCCCUCUGGAUCAGGUGCAGGCCGGCCGGUGCGCGCAGGCGGCGGCGCUCCACUCGAGGGCAAAGGGAGGCAACGGCGACGGUGGCCGCCGUGGACACCCGCGGCUAUGAUGAACCUCGCCGCCAUGAGGCCGCCAUGGAGGCCCGUCCCGAGCUCGGCUCGCCGCUCCUCCGGUGACCCUCGUUGCGCCUGGAUCCGGGUCGGGCGGAUCCGACGGAGGAGCCCUCCCAUGGCACCGGCGGCUCUGGAGAUGAGGGCUGCACAGAGGAAGAGGAGCAGCAGCAGCUCGAGGUCGUUACGCGUCGCCCACACCCCUCCUCCGCUCGCUCUCGUCUCUGUCAGGCUGCUGAUGUUCACUGCACUGGAGGGAGAGGACAAGAGUAAGAGAGCAAGAACAAUAGAUGAUUCGGUUAUUUGUGAAACUGACGGCUCUUGUGAGGAGCAAGGAUAGAGAAGGCUAUGAACCAAUGAGCAGAUGAACAUCAUCUUUAUCCAAAUAUCUUCAGAUAUAACUGACAUCCUCGCAGUGCGUGGGAGCCGGUGUCUUCGGCCAGAGCUGGGUCUCCUUGCCGGCGACCUUGCCAUCACCAGCCUAUCUGCAGUUUUGCAGGGAUGGACAUAUGGAUUGAAUGGUACCCUCCUGAAAUCUACACAGAUGUCAGGUACCAAGAACUUAAAUAAGAAUGUCCCAACUCCUUUUUUCUUUGAUUUCUUUUUGCAGAGAUCCGCUUGCUGUUCAUACUUCAACAUUACCAGAGUUUAAUGUACUAUCUAGCACAUGUAUCUGAGAAAGAAGAAAUAGGGCAAAGAAAAUCAGAUCGGAGAAAGAAGAGAUGAAGAACAAUUUUAAUUGAAGAGUUGAAGAAGACUAAGGUAAAUUUUAACCAUCUUGCAAACCCAAUUAAGUUUGCACUUGCAUUUUGAUAAUAUGAUUUGUGUUGAUGCAAGCACGAGUCCCCCUGAAGUGCUUGACCACCGGCCGGUUGCAGUGGAGGUCAGCAUCACCUAGCUGUGGCCAUCCUGGGCGCCGAGAGAAUUAGCUGAAAAAUCUUGCUGAGAUCCAGGUCACGGGUCAUCCCCAUUCAGGUGGCUAUGAAACUUGUUCCUAACAAAGACAAAUUUGUGGAGGUGGCUAGGGGAACAGGAGGAGCAAGUUUAGCCUGGCAGGUGCUUCUCAGGUUCGAUGGUUUCCAACAAGGGAGCGAUAUCCAUGCUCUGCAUCAAGGUUGUAGUGCUUUCUUCAUGGGUUCGGCCUUUGCCAUUAAGAUGCAUGAUGCUCUGACAAACAGAAACAUCAGGACUACAGACAGAUAGAAGAAGCUUUUAUCAAUGUCUCCCCUUUCUGACAAUUGAGUGAAUUUCUAUGCAAGAUAAAUUAAACUAUGUUCUUGAUCAUGAAUCUUUACGUGUCUGUGCUCAACUGAAUCGUGUUUGCUUGGUGUGAUCUCUCCCAGAACAAAAAUCUUGAUGAGCAAGAAGUAGUAUAACUGGCGGGAAAUGCUAGAGCUUUUUUGUUAUGUACCAUCAAGAUAGUAUGGCUUAUCAUUUUAAAUAGCAAUGCCUGAUGAGUGCUGAUCAUAUUAAUCUUUAA
This is a non-coding RNA of Aegilops tauschii subsp. strangulata, 1765 nucleotides long. Lineage: Eukaryota; Viridiplantae; Streptophyta; Magnoliopsida; Poales; Poaceae. The record is from RefSeq and is a predicted model, not a curated record.